This 1492-nucleotide ribosomal RNA is filed under the name Lacticaseibacillus paracasei. RNAcentral describes it as "bacterial SSU rRNA". It matches the Rfam family "Bacterial small subunit ribosomal RNA". Lineage: Bacteria; Bacillati; Bacillota; Bacilli; Lactobacillales; Lactobacillaceae. The record is from RNAcentral.
GAUGAACGCUGGCGGCGUGCCUAAUACAUGCAAGUCGAACGAGUUCUCGUUGAUGAUCGGUGCUUGCACCGAGAUUCAACAUGGAACGAGUGGCGGACGGGUGAGUAACACGUGGGUAACCUGCCCUUAAGUGGGGGAUAACAUUUGGAAACAGAUGCUAAUACCGCAUAGAUCCAAGAACCGCAUGGUUCUUGGCUGAAAGAUGGCGUAAGCUAUCGCUUUUGGAUGGACCCGCGGCGUAUUAGCUAGUUGGUGAGGUAAUGGCUCACCAAGGCGAUGAUACGUAGCCGAACUGAGAGGUUGAUCGGCCACAUUGGGACUGAGACACGGCCCAAACUCCUACGGGAGGCAGCAGUAGGGAAUCUUCCACAAUGGACGCAAGUCUGAUGGAGCAACGCCGCGUGAGUGAAGAAGGCUUUCGGGUCGUAAAACUCUGUUGUUGGAGAAGAAUGGUCGGCAGAGUAACUGUUGUCGGCGUGACGGUAUCCAACCAGAAAGCCACGGCUAACUACGUGCCAGCAGCCGCGGUAAUACGUAGGUGGCAAGCGUUAUCCGGAUUUAUUGGGCGUAAAGCGAGCGCAGGCGGUUUUUUAAGUCUGAUGUGAAAGCCCUCGGCUUAACCGAGGAAGCGCAUCGGAAACUGGGAAACUUGAGUGCAGAAGAGGACAGUGGAACUCCAUGUGUAGCGGUGAAAUGCGUAGAUAUAUGGAAGAACACCAGUGGCGAAGGCGGCUGUCUGGUCUGUAACUGACGCUGAGGCUCGAAAGCAUGGGUAGCGAACAGGAUUAGAUACCCUGGUAGUCCAUGCCGUAAACGAUGAAUGCUAGGUGUUGGAGGGUUUCCGCCCUUCAGUGCCGCAGCUAACGCAUUAAGCAUUCCGCCUGGGGAGUACGACCGCAAGGUUGAAACUCAAAGGAAUUGACGGGGGCCCGCACAAGCGGUGGAGCAUGUGGUUUAAUUCGAAGCAACGCGAAGAACCUUACCAGGUCUUGACAUCUUUUGAUCACCUGAGAGAUCAGGUUUCCCCUUCGGGGGCAAAAUGACAGGUGGUGCAUGGUUGUCGUCAGCUCGUGUCGUGAGAUGUUGGGUUAAGUCCCGCAACGAGCGCAACCCUUAUGACUAGUUGCCAGCAUUUAGUUGGGCACUCUAGUAAGACUGCCGGUGACAAACCGGAGGAAGGUGGGGAUGACGUCAAAUCGUCAUGCCCCUUAUGACCUGGGCUACACACGUGCUACAAUGGAUGGUACAACGAGUUGCGAGACCGCGAGGUCAAGCUAAUCUCUUAAAGCCAUUCUCAGUUCGGACUGUAGGCUGCAACUCGCCUACACGAAGUCGGAAUCGCUAGUAAUUGCGGAUCAGCACGCCGCGGUGAAUACGUUCCCGGGCCUUGUACACACCGCCCGUCACACCAUGAGAGUUUGUAACACCCGAAGCCGGUGGCGUAACCCUUUUAGGGAGCGAGCCGUCUAAGGUGGGACAAAUGAUUAGGGUG